Poecilia latipinna (sailfin molly) is the source of this 2573-nucleotide long non-coding RNA. RefSeq lists it as uncharacterized. The transcript is spliced from 2 exons. The record is from RefSeq and is a predicted model, not a curated record. NCBI's taxonomy places the organism in Eukaryota, Metazoa, Chordata, Actinopteri, Cyprinodontiformes, Poeciliidae.
CGUGAAUAAAAAAUAUUGCCAAAUUAAGGUGAAAUAGAAUGAUCUGGUUGAUACUAAGUGAAAAAAAUUAAUAAAGUUUAUUGGAUAACAAUAGACUUAUAAACUUUGCUUAAGGGAGCAAAGGCCUCAAGCAGAAUCUUUAGAAGGAACUUGACUUAUCCCUACUAAAUAGUACCUUGAUUCUUAUCACUGCAUAAUCAAAGGUCACUUCAACAGGUUGGAGAAAGAACGACACUGAACAUGAAUUAAAGUGUCUCCUUACUCUUUUUCCCCCCACAACGGUCCUGCAUGUUUCAGCCAAACUCAUUUAAUUUGGUGGUAGAUUAACAGGUGUUUGCUGAACUGCAAUCAGCUGAAACAAGUGCAUUAAAGCAGGGAAAAAUAUUAAACAUGCAGAGCAGUUUGGUUUCAGGACCACGGUUAGGAAACACUGUCCUAAAUAAACCUUGGUGUGUAAAACCAAAUAGUUAUAUUUUGUGUGCAAAGCUUCUCUGCAGAAAUGGUCACAAUUUGUCUUAAGGUCUCUGAUGACAUUUCAUUUAGUUAGAAAUUUAUUUUACUUGUUUUACACAGGAUGAUUCUUGAAAAUUUAGUAUGAAAUUGUAUUUAUUUUUUGUAAAUAGCUGCAUGUUAACAAUAGACAAGUUUCAUUUAUAAAUCAGUUGAGUUAUAGUCCAAAGAAAAUCUACUAAAACUGGAAGUUAAACUAACAUAUUAUUGUUACUAAUAAAAUAGUGUUUUUAUUGAAAUCUUAGUUAAUACACAGUAAGUGAUGCCUAUUAACAAAACUAACUUUUCAAAACAACACAAGAAUACAGCGUCUUAGUGAAAAACUUUCUGAGAUCAACAGUCAAAUUAUAGACACAAAUGAGAUCGGUAUGAUGGUCUUGAACAGUUAAUAAUCAAUGCAUUUCUCCGACAGCCUGUGGAAACCCUAGCAGAGAAGGAUUCAGGAGUGCUGCUGAGUGCCCAGACUAUCACCUCUGAGACUAUCAGCACCACCACCACAACCCAGAUCACUAAGACGGUGAAAGGAGGAAUUUCUGAGACUCGAAUUGAGAAGAGAAUUGUCAUCACUGGAGACACAGCAAUUGAUCAUGACAAGGUAAACAUCAUGAAAGAACAGAUUGUAGUUUGAAAAUGUAGAACAGAGUUGACUUGAUAAUUUCAGAAAGUGCAAAGAAUGUUUAUUAGCUCACAAAUUGCAACAGAUUUCUGCUUUAGAUCUAAUUUGCAAUCCAAGUAUUAGCUAAUUUCUCUAAUCCUUGAAGAUGAAUGCUUGUUUUGUUUGGCAAAGCCAAGUUACAGAAAGCCCCUAAAAUACAUAUUUCAAAGACUGAUUUUUAAAUAAGAGAAAUCUAGAGGUCUUGAUAUAUGUAAAACAGGAUAUGGAGCAAGAUCAGUGAGACCAUUGAAUGGAAAUCAGGCAGUGAAACAGAAGGAUCCAACAAUGAGAAAUCAGGAGCUUAAAUACAGAGGCAGCAGUAAAAAAAUGUCACAAAACCAAAGGAACUAAUAUGAAGAAAUGUUUUACAGCUGUGUGCGCUGUCCACACUCCAGCUCACCGAUGGUGGCAGUAAUACACCAUCGCAGUUGGUCUGCCAAAUGCCUUAAAACAAAACAAGAAAAACAACAAAAAGCUGGGGCAGGGAGAAAGCAGCAAAACCAAAGAUGGGAGACUAAUUAACACAAAAGCCACUCAGACUCUAGAAAACAAAAAAUACCUGACAAUAGAUAAAUUAAACUAGAAUUGCAAGCUGUUACAAUUGGUUCCUCGGCUGACCCAGCAGGUCCAUUCCCCUUACAUCGCCCGUCCGCACAAACAACUCUGUACACACCUCCCGAUGAAGUUCCCUCCCCAACCUCAGUGCUCUGUGCGCGUCUACCGAGUCGGCAAUUUUUCAGGAAGGGUUAUUUUUUGUCCUGACAUGUUACUAGCCAAGAUAAGUGUGGAUUUGGCUCCCCUUUAGUUAUUCUAUCUGUGGUCAGCUAGCAUAACUAAGCUAUGGUGGGAAGAUAAACUCCAGGAGAUUUAAGAUUGUCAGUGAGCCAAGGGUGGCAGACACAGGGAGCCAGAUUCAGAAUAAACAAAUUGACUGUAGAAAGGGCAAACUUAAAAUUUCUAUCCAUCCCAAGGUCUCAACCGGUACAUUUCUUAUUUCCAAUCAUCCAAAUUAGUGUGGUUGCAACCAAGAUUGAUUCUAUUCUGCUACUGAGUAUUAGCGUCCAAAGUUUGCCUUUGAAAGAAUUGCAUCCAACUUGUCUCACAGCACGUCAGUCUGAGUGUUCGGUAGUUCGGCUCAGUCUGUCACAAAUUUGUCCACAAGCUCCAAACAGCAGAAAUCCAGAUAUAUCAUGAGUCCAAAUAAAUCCAGGAUGAAUCCCGCUGGGUAUGUCCCAGCAGGAAAGUGGGCUCUCCUGUGCCCAGUCUUCUCAUUGAGAAAGUUUGAUUAAAUGCAUUAUUGAGAGACCAGUUAACCAGAGUCUUAAUUGUAGAUUUGGAGGAUGCGCAAAGAAAGGCUCCAAAAAAGCAGCACGAAAACGGAGCAAGAGAAGCUGGAGAAGAAAGGAAA